AACGAACGCUGGCGGCAUGCCUAACACAUGCAAGUCGAACGAGACCUUCGGGUCUAGUGGCGCACGGGUGCGUAACGCGUGGGAACCUGCCCUUAGGUUCGGAAUAACUCCCCGAAAGGGGUGCUAAUACCGGAUAAUGUCUUCGGACCAAAGAUUUAUCGCCUUUGGAUGGGCCCGCGUUGGAUUAGCUAGUUGGUAGGGUAAAAGCCUACCAAGGCGACGAUCCAUAGCUGGUCUGAGAGGAUGAUCAGCCACACUGGGACUGAGACACGGCCCAGACCCCCACGGGGGGCAGGAGGGGGGAAAUUUGGACAAGGGGCAAAAGCCUGACCAAGAAAUGCCGGGGGGGUGAUGAAGGCCUUAGGGUUGAAAAGCUCUUUUACCCGGGAUGAUAAUGAAAGUACCGGGAAAAAAAGCCCCGGCUAACCCCGU
Molecule: ribosomal RNA, 432 nt
Filed under: uncultured bacterium
Lineage: Bacteria
Description: partial 16S ribosomal RNA
Rfam family: Bacterial small subunit ribosomal RNA
Source: RNAcentral